This 872-nucleotide ribosomal RNA is filed under the name Chlamydomonas reinhardtii. RNAcentral describes it as "eukaryotic LSU rRNA". It matches the Rfam family "Eukaryotic large subunit ribosomal RNA", at positions 49 to 949 of the family's 3401-position model. The record is from RNAcentral. Lineage: Eukaryota; Viridiplantae; Chlorophyta; Chlorophyceae; Chlamydomonadales; Chlamydomonadaceae.
AGCGGAGGAAAAGAAACUACAAGGAUUCCCCUAGUAACGGCGAGCGAACCGGGAAUAGCCCAACUUGAAAAUCUCCCUUUGGAGAAUUGUAGUCUAGAGAAGCGCUUUCUAGGGCUGGCGGAACUCAAGUCGGAUCGAAUGCCGCGUCAGAGAGGGUGAUAACCCCGUCGGUUCCUGCCUAGUCCUUCCACGAAGUGCUUUCCACGAGUCGGGUUGUUUGGGAAUGCAGCCCUAAUUUGGAGGUAAAUCCCUUCUAAGGCUAAAUACUGCCGAGAGACCGAUAGCGAACAAGUACCGUGAGGGAAAGAUGAAAAGAACUUUGAAAAGAGAGUUAAAAGUGCUUGAAAUUGUUGAGAGGGAAGCGAUUGGCGCUCGUAGGUGCGCCCAGGCUUAAGCGGUCCUAACGGCCCGUUGAAUGUGCUGGGUGCUGGUCAGAAUGGGUUGAGUUGGCGGGACAAAAGCUGGGUCCACCCAGGUAACCCGGCCGAUGCCGCCGACUCGACCAAGGAGUAAAGAGUACCUUGUCCUUCGGGAUCUGUGCUCUAAAGAUUCUGGCAGAAGAGCGUCAAUCGACCCGUCUUGAAACACGGACCAAGGAGUCUAACAUGUAUGCGAGUUGGCGGGUGGAAAACCCGUAAGCGCAAGUAACCUGACUGGUGGGAUGGGGUAAAACCCUGCACCAUCGACCGACCAUGUUGUUUCUACGAAAGGUUUGAGUGCGAGCAUACCUGUUGGGACCCGAAAGAUGGUGAACUAUGCCUGAGCAGGGUGAAGCCAGAGGAAACUCUGGUGGAGGCUCGUAGAUGUGCUGACGUGCAAAUCGCUUUUCAGACUUGGGUAUAGGGGCGAAAGACUAAUCGAACCUUCUAGUA